Long non-coding RNA from Megalobrama amblycephala (Wuchang bream), 1449 nucleotides. RefSeq lists it as uncharacterized. The transcript is spliced from 6 exons. The record is from RefSeq and is a predicted model, not a curated record. NCBI's taxonomy places the organism in Eukaryota, Metazoa, Chordata, Actinopteri, Cypriniformes, Xenocyprididae.
ACUCGGCUACGUUUGAUGCUGUUGUUCCGUGUUUGUGUGUGUGUGAGUACACACACUCUAUCGCAGCUAAAUGAGUCAUAAAAUCUGAUUAUAUGUAAAUGGCAGAUGAUAAGAACCAUGCUGUGGGAUUGAGGGAAGCAAGAAAUGAGAGUUAUGGAAUAAGCAGGAGUGAGAAUUGAAAGUGAGCGGCCAAGAAAUGGAAAAGGAGAGCUGAGAAGAAGCGAGCUGGAAAUGCCCUAAAAUUCCUGUGUUCCAGUAAAGUGUGUCGUCCUGGUGCUGGUGACUAAUCAUGUGACCAGGUGAUGUGCCUCUGCCUCCUUUGGUCUUAUUGUUGGUAAACAUGUCUUUGACUUCCUGUACAGCUUUGAGAGAGAGGAGCAACCUGAAAUGACUGAAUCAUUCAUCAGUGGUGUUUGCAAAGAAGAAAUAACGUCAUACGGGUUUGGAUCAAAAUGAUGGGACCUUAAGGUACGUCCCCUGCAACUCGAUCUCCACAUUUGGUUCCUGCAAAGAGCAAAACCAGCGCACCGGAGGACAAACAACCAAACUUUAGCGUGUAGUUCCUGUUUCGACAGUCUCAAGUUGAGACCCAUGAGGAGGACAUGAAGAAGCCAGUCUGCUCUCUCUUGGCCUUGGUCAUGACCUUGGUGCUGGUAAUGGCUUCAACUGGUAAGAACGAACUCUGAUUUAAUCAUUUUCACAGGAAUGCAUGCGCAUUUUACAUUUUUACCUGUCAGUUAGUAUAGUGAUUAAUAAAGGUCUAUUAAUUACUAUAGUUUGCUAAAUGUAGAGAAUGAAAGAGAAACGUUACGGGGCGAUGGAUAAGUUUGGAUGUAGGGAUGAAUUACUAGAAGCUGGAGGAGGUGGGGAAUGCACCUCCACACCAAAACAUUCAAAGAACAAGGAAGCAAAACUUGGGACAGUAAGAAAAGGACUUCUGAACCACUGAAAUAAGUCAUACAGAAUCACCCUAAAUGAAACACACACAUCUGCACACCCACGUUUAUAUAAUGGGGACGUACCAGACCCUUCUGUUAUAUUAGCACUAUAUAUAUAUAUAUAUAUAUAUAUAUAUAUAUAUAUAUAUAGUGCUUGAUAGUAACUGAUUAUACUCAAUAGCAGUAAAUUAUGCAUAAUUAAUUGAUUUUAUCUUUUAAAUUUUCCUUUCUAAAAUAGCCUACUGCUUAUAUUCGUUCAUAAAGUCCUCCAGUUUUGUAGAAUUUCACAGAUAGACCACUGAAAACUGAGACCCACACAGAGUUUGAUUACUGGAUUUACAGAAAUCAUCUCACUUUUAAGUGUUUUCUCAACAUUGCAUCACUCAGUAAGUCAUUUAAUCAUGCAUUACUGUCGUUGGAAGGCUUUUGUCGUUCAAAUACAGUACAGUCCAAAAGUUUGGAACCACUAAGAUUUUUAAUGUUUUUAAAAGAAGUUUCGUCUGCUCACCAA